UACGGAGGAUGCAAGCGUUAUCCGGAUUUAUUGGGUUUAAAGGGUGCGUAGGCGGAUAUGUAAGUCAGCGGUGAAACUCACAGGCUCAACCUGUGCCGUGCCGUUGAAACUGUGUAUCUGGAAUGCGGAUGCUGUGGGAGGAAUGUGUAGUGUAGCGGUGAAAUGCAUAGAUAUUACACAGAACACCGAUUGCAAAGGCAUCUCACAAAGCCGUUAUUGACGCUGAGGCACGAAAGUGUGGGGAUCAAA
Molecule: ribosomal RNA, 249 nt
Filed under: uncultured prokaryote
Description: partial 16S ribosomal RNA
Rfam family: Bacterial small subunit ribosomal RNA
Source: RNAcentral